UUACAACACUUAAUAAUUUAUUAAACCUAAUUAAGUCUAUAUAUAGGGUGUGUUUGGUUUCUCUACACUAAAAUUUAGUACAUAUCACGACGAAUGUUUGAAGACCGGUUUUAAAUAUUAAAUAAAGUCUAAUUAUAAAUCUAAUCGCAAGAUGAAGACUAAACGAUUAGAUAUAUUUACUAAGCCUAAUUAAAUCUAUAUAAGCAUGUAUUUAAUAAUCAUUCCGGUUUAAACUAUAGUCAGAAAAACUAAACAACUUCUUAAUAAUCAUGAUUGAUAUUCUAUUAGUUGAUAUGGUAUAAACUAAACUUUAGUCAUCUAACUCAAAACACUUUCCAACUCUUCACUCGUCUCUCUUCCCUUCGCCCAUCUCUCUUCCAAGCUCUGAGUUCUGAUUCUGACCCAGACGGGGAAUAAUCAGACUCCUCGCAUCCCCUCUCUUCUCUCUUCACCCCGUCGCCGUCCCGUUACUCGAUUCGAGGGCGCGACCCUUCCCCAUCUCUCUUGCCUCGCCUUGCCGGCGGCGCCAAUCCCAGGGCUCGCGUCGGGAGUGCCCAACUUCUCCACAGUGGCCGUUCCGCCGCGGCGCCCGCAGGUGGGCGAUGCGAUCGGAUGAGUUGGCGGCGGCGGCGGCGCUUCGUGGAAAGGAGGAGGAGGGGGGCCUUGUGCUUUCCCGCGGCGGUGCUAUCCCCGCCGCAUCCGCCCCUCGGAGCCGGUGAUGGCCCCGACCGCGGAGCCGUCUUCGCGGCCGCCCCAAUGGCGCCCCCGCACGGGCCCACCCCCGGGGCUGAAGAACCUCGGCAACACAUGCUACCUCAACAGCGUCCUACAGUGCCUCGCGUCCACGCCGCCCCUCGCCACGUUCUGCCUCGCCUCUCGCCACUCCAACCAGUGCAAGAAGGUGUUCCCGAAUAGGGACAAUGACUGCGCGCUAUGCGUGCUUGAGCGGCAGAUUGCUCGGCUGCUUCGGGCAGAUGCUGGGGCGCUCGAUUCCCCAGCAAAGGUUAUCCGCUGCAUGCCCCUAUUUGCCGAGCACUUCAGGUGGGGGCGCCAGGAGGAUGCACACGAGUUCCUCCGCUAUGUCGUAGAUGCCUGUCACACUGCUGACCUCCGCAUGCGCAAGGGGUUACGUGCAGCAGCUGCCAGUGGAAACUGUGGUGAGGAUGUCCGGGGGCAGGGGGUUUGUCUGGUUAUGAGGGAGACAUUUGGCGGGGCAUUACUGAGUCAAGUGAAGUGCCUUGAGUGCAAGGGAGAAUCUAACAAGACUGAUGAGAUAAUGGAUAUCAGUCUCGAUCUACCUGGGAGCAGUUCUGUUGCUGAUGCCCUUUCCCGCUUCUUUCAUCCGGAGACCUUGGAUGGCGCAAACAAAUAUUGCUGUGAAAGUUGUAAAAAGCUCACCUCAGCACGGAAGCAAAUGUUUAUGCUCAGGGCACCUAAGGUGCUCGUCAUACAACUCAAGAGGUUUGAGGGGAUAAAUGGUGGAAAGAUCAACAGGAAUAUAGAAUUCAAGGAGGCACUUGAUCUUUCUGAUUGCAUGUACAAUAAAAACCAGGAUCCGCAUCCAGUAUAUAAUCUUUUUGGUUGUAUCGUCCACUCAGGGCUCUCCUCAGAGUCUGGUCACUACUAUGCAUAUGUUAAGGAUGUUGCUAUUGAUCAAUGGUUUUGUUGUAACGAUUCUCAUGUCUCCCUGUCAAGCUCUCAGAAUGUUUUGUCUGAGAAGGUCUAUAUCCUAUUUUAUAUACUGAAUUCGAAAACUCAAAAGCCUAGUAGAAAUGGUUACUCUUCUACUGCAGCUAAACCUUUCAGCACCAAUGGAAUUGGCAUAUCAAGCACCUCAUCUAGUGAGACCUCGAAGAUACCUUUGGUAAAACAGGAUGGUCUAUGUUCUACCAAAGGUAAUGUACUGAUGCCCUUGAAGAAUGGCAAGACUGCAUCAGGUCCACUUAUCAAGCCGAUUCACUUUAAGAACAGUGCAGCAGAAAAGGUUAUGUCAAAUGGCAAAGUAAACCUCACUUCAAAAAACAAUCCAGAGGUUAAUGGAACUGCUAAAUCAUCAGAAUCAAACAGAUGCAAGACUGGACAAUUUGUGGGACCCAGUAAAAAUAAUGCUGAUAAUACUAUUUCUUGUGGAGAGAGAGGCCAACAGUCAGAAAGAAUACAUGAUGCAAAUGGAAAUGGCCAGUCAAUUCAUCAUUCACAGUAUUUUGGUGAGAUCAGUAACGGCAAUGCUAUGCCUACAUCUGCUCAACAAGAGACCAGUCAUGGCAAUGCCACGCCCGCCCGACAGGAGACCAAUAAUAGCAAUGGCACGCCCGCUCAACAGGAGACCAGUAAUGGCAAGGCCUCACAUGCUGAACAUUAUUCUGAGCGGUCAUCUCACCAAGAAGAGCAUGCAAACUUCUCAGGAAACAAACGCCGACUUGAAGAAGAUAAGUUUCAGGAAAUCCUCUGGUCUGGUAACAAAUAUGCACAAGAGCUGCGCCAUUCCAAUAAGGUGUGAUGAUCAAGUGGUGCAAGCUGGAUGCAAUGUGUUGUGAUGCAGUCCUGCUUCUUUUCCUUGCAAGUAUCUGGGGCUGCCCAUCUCUGAUAAGAAGUUGAGGAAGUGUGAUCUUAUUUUGUGGAUUGAGAAGAUUGCAGAAGGCUCAACCCCUCAAUCUGGCUGGACGGACAAUAUUGGUGAAGUUUGUUCUUUUAGCCAUUCCAACAUAUCUCCUUAUUGCUAUAAAUAUUCCUCAGUGGGUAAUUAAAUCAAUUGAUAAAAUUCGACGAGGGUUUCUUUGGAAAGGGAGAAAGGAGGUUAAUGGUGAUAGCUGUCUUGUACCUUGGGAAAUUGUCACGAGGCCUCUAAGCUAUGGCAGUAUGGCGGACUUGGUGUCCCCAACUUGAAAUUUAAAAGCUGGGCUUUGCAGGCGAAAUGGUUAUGGCUGGAAAAGACGGACCCGAGCAGCCCUUGGCAUGGGCUGUCCCUCCCAGUGUAGUGACAGGUUAGACAGUUAUUCGAAUUGUCUGUGUUUAUCGUAUUAGGAAAUUGGGCUACAACUCUCUUCUGGUCGGAUAGAUGGGUAUAUGGGAGUACUAUCCAGGACAUUGCCCUUGAGGUGGUACGAAUGGUUGACCGCAUGGCAUUUUCUUCCAGAACUGUAGCACGGGCUCUGGAUAACUGGCAAUGGGUCAACGACAUUAAUGACCCUCUUUCCUUGAGAGGGUUACAACAAUACUUGUUGUUAUGGGAUACUUUGAGAGGGGUUCUGCUUUCUCAAGAUACUGACAAGCAUGUAUGGAUGCACACUUCUUCUGGGCAGUUCUCCUGAAAGUUUUGCUAUAAAGCAUUUUUCAUGGGGUCCAUUUACUUUGAGCCAUGGAAACGUUUGUGGAAGACUUGGGCUCCCCAAAAUGCAAGUUUUUUCUCUGGUUGGCAAUAAGAAAUAAGUGUUGGACUGCUGAUAGACUUAGAAGGAGAGGGUUGCAUCACCCUCUUGUCUGUGUUUUAUGUGACCAAGAACAAGAAACAGUUCAGCAUCUUUUGUGCACUUGCAGUUUUGCCAGACAGUUUUGGCAUGAUAUCCUAUUGCCCCGGAGACAAGGGGAUCUCACCCCUGCUGCUGAUGAAAUAUCUUUUGCUGAAUGGUGGAAAAAGGUGCAUAAGAGCAAGAGGAAAGGCUUCAAUAGCCUCAUAAUUUUGGGGGCGUGGUGCUUGUGGCUUCUUCGAAACAAAGCUGUUUUUGAUGGAGCUUGCAGAGUUAGCUAAUUCUGAGCUUCGGAUGUCUGUAUGGACGGAUGAUGUCUACAGCUUUAUGCGCUCGCAAAAGAGGCGUCGAAUUCAAAGUUCUGACAUUUCUCAAGAUUUUGAUGCAAUGAGAAAGCAGCUAGUAUCAGAUGCUGCAAGAGUAUGUAGGUCAAAAGUUCCGGAGUCGCUGAUGGAAAAUCUUAUUAAACGCCUGAGAUCAUACUUUGAGGACAAAUAUCCACCAAAAGCGUAGUUUUUCAUGCAGCAGUUCUUUAGAAGCUACUUAGGUGUCAAUUGGAUCUUGGUGGUGGUCAACUCCCUAACUCCUCGCGCGGCUUAAUUUUGAGGACAUUUUUGUAUUCUUUGCUGAGACAGAGACGAGGUGUUCUAAAUUGCAUGUACAAAUAUACUUUUCGUUGUUAUCCCUGAUGUUAUAGGUACCACACCACCAUCCCCACCACUUUUCUGUAGAAUGUAGAUCCCUUUUUAUCCUGGCAGAUUAAAGCAUGAGUUUAUGGUGUUUUUGACACGUAUUUUUGCCCCGACCAGACCCAGUUUUAGUCAAUGUUUUUCUUUUCAUUC
Molecule: RNA transcript, 4309 nt
Organism: Zea mays
Lineage: Eukaryota; Viridiplantae; Streptophyta; Magnoliopsida; Poales; Poaceae
Gene name: ubiquitin carboxyl-terminal hydrolase 25
Exons: 10
Source: RefSeq, a predicted model, not a curated record